This 840-nucleotide ribosomal RNA is filed under the name uncultured archaeon. RNAcentral describes it as "bacterial SSU rRNA". It matches the Rfam family "Archaeal small subunit ribosomal RNA", at positions 52 to 878 of the family's 1478-position model. The record is from RNAcentral.
UGGGAGUCUACACCUCCGGGUCAAGGAGGUGUGGCGUACGGCUGAGUAACACGUGGCUAACCUGCCCUCAGGACGGGAAUAACCCCGGGAAACUGGGGAUAAUUCCCGAUAGGUGAGGGGUACUGGAAGGUCCCCUCGCCGAAAGGCCCUUGGGCUACUGUCCAAGGGUGCCUCAGGAUGGGGCUGCGGCCCAUCAGGUAGUUGGAAGGGUAAAGGCCUUCCAAGCCUAUAACGGGUAGGGGCCGUGAAAGCGGGAGCCUCCAGAUGGGCACUGAGACAAGGGCCCAGGCCCUACGGGGUGCACCAGGCGCGAAACGUCCACAAUGCGCGUUUGCGUGAUGGCGCUACUCCGAGUGCCUCGUUAGAGGCUUUUCCCCACUCUAAAAAGGUGGGGGAAUAAGCGGGGGGCAAGACUGGUGUCAGCCGCCGCGGUAAUACCAGCUCCGCGAGUGGUCUGGGCUUUUAUUGGGCCUAAAGCGCCCGUAGCCGGCCCGGUAAGUUCGUGUCUAAAGGCCGGGGCUCAACCUCGGAAAUGGUGCGAAUACUGCCGGGCUAGGGGGCGAGAGAGGCUGGGAGUACUCCUGGAGUAGGGGCGAAAUCCGUAGAUCCCAGGAGGACUACCAGUGGCGAAGGCGCCCAGCUAGAGCGCGCCCGACGGUGAGGGGCGAAAGCCGGGGCAGCAAACCGGAUUAGAUACCCGGGUAGUCCCGGCCGUAAACUAUGCGGGCUAUGUGUCAGGUGGGCUUGGAGUCCACCUGGUGCAACAGGGAAGUCCUUUAAGCCCGCCGCCUGGGGAGUACAGCCGCAAGGCCGAAACUUAAAGGAAUUGGCGGGGGAGCA